This 270-nucleotide ribosomal RNA is filed under the name uncultured archaeon. Its description in RNAcentral is "partial 16S ribosomal RNA". It matches the Rfam family "Archaeal small subunit ribosomal RNA", at positions 477 to 747 of the family's 1478-position model. The record is from RNAcentral.
CAGCACUUCAAGUGGUCAGGAUGAUUAUUGGGCCUAAAGCAUCCGUAGCCGGCGCUGUAAGUUUUCGGUUAAAUCUGUACGCUCAACGUACAGGCUGCCGGGAAUACUGCAGCGCUAGGGAGUGGGAGAGGUAGACGGUACUCGGUAGGAAGGGGUAAAAUCCUUUGAUCUAUUGAUGACCACCUGUGGCGAAGGCGGUCUACCAGAACACGUCCGACGGUGAGGGAUGAAAGCUGGGGGAGCAAACCGGAUUAGAUACCCGAGUAGUCC